This 746-nucleotide ribosomal RNA is filed under the name uncultured bacterium. Its description in RNAcentral is "bacterial SSU rRNA". It matches the Rfam family "Bacterial small subunit ribosomal RNA", at positions 28 to 764 of the family's 1533-position model. The record is from RNAcentral.
AACGAACGCUGGCGGCGCGUCUUAAGCAUGCAAGUCGAGCGGCAAGGAGGAGCAAUCCUCCCUAGAGCGGCGGACUGGUGAGUAGCGCGUGGGUGACCUACCUAUUGGUUGGGGAUAGUCGUUAGAAAUAGCGGGUAAUACCGAAUAAUGUUGCGGUGCUAUGGCAUUGCAAAGAAAGGGGCUAAGGCCCCGCCUAUAGAUGGGCCCGCGUUCCAUUAGCUAGUUGGUGAGGUAAAGGCCCACCAAGGCGAUGAUGGGUAGCCGGCCUGAGAGGGUGAACGGCCACACUGGGACUGAGAUACGGCCCAGACUCCUACGGGAGGCAGCAGCUAAGAAUAUUCCGCAAUGGACGAAAGUCUGACGGAGCGACGCCGCGUGUAUGAUGAAGGCCGAAAGGUUGUAAAGUACUUUUACGGAUGAAGAAUAAGUGUGGGAGGGAAUGCCCGCAUGAUGACGUUAGUCCGUGAAUAAGCCCCGGCUAAUUACGUGCCAGCAGCCGCGGUAACACGUAAGGGGCGAGCGUUGUUCGGAAUUAUUGGGCGUAAAGGGCGCGUAGGCGGUUACGCAAGUCUGGCGUGAAAUCCUGGGGCUUAACUCCGGGCCUGCGUUGGAAACUGUGUAACUAGAGUCAUGGAGGGGGAGUUGGAAUUCCUGGUGUAGGGGUGAAAUCUGUAGAUAUCAGGAAGAACACCGGUGGCGAAGGCGAACUUCUGGCCAAUGACUGACGCUGAGGCGCGAAAGUGCGG